GAACCAAUCAGGUAAGAGUUCAUAUUUGCAUUAAGACCCUCAGCAGUGCCAUUUAUUCACAAUCAUUCACUGAGAUGGAGAGGCCAAGACUUGCUCUCAUCGUGCUCAUGUAAAAUAAUCUAUGGAGAAGAACUGGAAAUGAACGUCAAACCAGGAGACAACAUCACUCUCUUUUGUGAUCGCUCUGUAACUUUUGGUUCCAGCAUUGUAUGGAUAAGAAACUGCUCUCAUGAAAAUCAACCCUCUCUUAUAAUAGAUUUUAGGAAACUGGAUGAGGAGAUAUUUCAGCGAUUCAGCUUUAUCCACAAUCUCUAUAAUAAUUCUUACGAUCUACAUAUUACUAACAUCAGUGUCUCUGAUCUGGGACUGUACUACUGUGCAAAACUACAGAUGAAGGUAAAUGAAGAUGGAAAAGGCAUCCUCUCCCAAUCUGAGGUGUACUAUUAUGGAAACCAAACAACUCGUCUUUCUCUGAAAGUGAAUUCCUGUUCUGGACCCCUGAACACCACCUCCACACCACCUCCUGUAUCAGACUGUCUGCUCUGCUGGACGCUGCUGUUCAGUGUGUGUCCAGUGUGUUGUCUCUUCUCCUCCAUCUGUGUAUUCUGCCUCUGUUGUAGGAAAACUACAGAUUCUGCAACUGAUCAAAAACUCAAGCAGAAAGGUAGAAAUAUUAUUGAGGAAAAUUAUGAUACCGAGGUGUGUUAUGCAUCUGUGGACUUGAUGACCAGGAGACAAAACCGACACAAGAAAACACAAGCGCCAAGUUCAGAUUUCACUACUUACGCUCCUAUCCGAACAGAAGCUGAAUAGAUUAGAAAGCUGGAGGAGGUAUUAUCAUUGAAAUAUUAUUUUAAUGGCAUGUUUGUUGGUUAAAAUGUGUGUCUAUGAUUAAAUCAUAGAUGAAAAAUAUGAAACAAGAAUUCUUCUUCUUCUUUAUAAGCAGUUCUUCUUCUUUAUAAGUAUUGACAGAUAAAAAUAUUUUCUUUCAGUAAAAGUGUUUUAGUAUGUUUCCCUACAGUCUUUGUGGACACACAGUGAUGAGUAACAGGAUGUGGAAGUGGGUUUCCUGUUUUAUGUAGCGUUUAGUUUAAAGGGGUCACAAACUGCCUUUGUUUUUUAAAUUUUGUACUGUUCUCUGAGGUCCAAUUAUUAUGUUUUCAAGAUUUUUAUAUUAAAAACAUUAUUUAGAAGUAACACGCUAUUUUCUGUCCUGUUUUUAUCCCCCUCAUCAGAAUGCUCUGUUUGAAUAGUCAUGGCGGAUUGUAGAGUCGGAAGUAAACGCCCACUGAUACGAUUGACUAAUAGUUGUGUAUGUUAGAGAACGUACAUUCCUUAUAGAUGGACACUGGUGUGAUUUAGAUCAAAACACAUAAAAAAUGCACUUGGCACUGCACAGCAUCUUGUUGUAUUUAGAGCCAUCUUUAUCAUUCAGUUUCUGCGUGGACCUGUGUUGAUCUUCAGGCGUUGAUCUUCUUCUGUGGAGGCGGGGUUUAGCCACACUAUUACAUCAUAGAGUAGAACAUUCCAAAAGCUGUCGUUUUGGCAGACUACCUUUAAUAUAAGCUGUCUUUAGACUAAAGUUUUGAGUUCUGAAACUUACAGGAUUUUUAUAGUAUAAUGACCUCUUAUAUGUCAAAAGAUCAAGGGAAUUUGGUUUCUCAGUUCAUAACCCCUUUAAGCUGUGUAUAGUUCUCUUCAACUGGAUGACCGCAACAUUUAUCUGACUCAUUUUUUUUUCAAUAAGCCUCAUCAAAUUUUCCUAAAUCACACCUUUUUCCAUCCCAUUAUAGUAAUGUAUUAGAAAUUGUAAAGGAAACUAGAAAACCUAUGCCCAUUUUACAUUUAAAAUGAAAUGAGGUAGAAAUUAUUAGACAUUAUUUUAAGUUUUUCUUUUGAACCCUUGAACCCUCUGAAUUGCUCUUCAAAGGAGCUUUACACUCCUACAGUAUCUUUGUUUUCUUUCAAAGAAAGGUCAUGUCUUAUUCUCAGUAAUAAAGAUAACAAUCUUAACCA
Molecule: long non-coding RNA, 2016 nt
Organism: Cyprinus carpio (common carp)
Lineage: Eukaryota; Metazoa; Chordata; Actinopteri; Cypriniformes; Cyprinidae
Source: Ensembl